UUGUAUUAUCAUAAAUGAUUACUAUUGUGGCUUACAUGUCUAUUUAUACUACAUGAAUGAACUACUACAACAAGUAAAGGAGAAAUCUUCAACUAACAAGAAUCUAACCGAAUAACUGCCUACUAACUAACAGUGAACAAUAAUACUAAUUCUAGGACUGUGAACAUAGUAACUGAAGUUCAAAUCCCAUUAUCAGCUGCUUCACUCUUCUCGAUUGAUCAGCUUAUCAGCUUUUUCCAGCUUCUUCUUUAUCAGCAAACAAUUUGAAGAAUGGUCCCUUCAGCCACUUUCCCAUCAAAAUGAUAGAAGUUAUGGAUUGGUUUUUGCUCUCCUAAUUUAACCUUUAGAAUAUCCUGCAAAGGAAAAAGAGGCCCAGAAAAUGCAAGAUACAUAAACUGAUUUCAGGAUGCUCACAUUUUCAGACUAAUAUACAAAGUUUGUGCAUACUCUUAUAGUGUUCAUUAUAUGAGAUGGCAGCAUGCUAUAGUUUUCUAGUGCACUUUUAGCAAUUAAUAAGUCUCAUAGUUACCAAAAAAUUAAAAAUACACAUUAGCAGAUUAAUAAGAUGCCCCAAGUAAUACUUAUUGACUUGCUUCUCAUUGAAAGACGUAGCAAAUGGAGGAUUCCAAUGUAUUGUUCAUGAAACAGGUAAACUAUGAUCUUUUGCAAGUGUCGUUCAAUGGCAAUAACCAUGUGGCUAUUACAUUAUAUUACAACAAACAUUUGGCAAAUACAAUAGUACAUAUGUAAUGGCACUCCAAACCCCCCCGCCCCUCCCCCCCUCCAAAAAGGAGUGAAGACAGUACUGGUCAUCAUGUGUAAAGCUAUGAUAAG
This 834-nucleotide long non-coding RNA is filed under the name Capsicum annuum. RNAcentral's name for it is "long non-coding RNA (CANN_LNC004066)". The record is from RNAcentral. Lineage: Eukaryota; Viridiplantae; Streptophyta; Magnoliopsida; Solanales; Solanaceae.